CCUACGGGGGGCAGCAGUGAGGAAUAUUGGUCAAUGGACGCAAGUCUGAACCAGCCAUGCCGCGUGCAGGAAGACGGCUCUAUGAGUUGUAAACUGCUUUUGUACGAGGGUAAACGCAGAUACGCGUAUCUGUCUGAAAGUAUCGUACGAAUAAGGAUCGGCUAACUCCGUGCCAGCAGCCACGGUAAUACGGAGGAUUCAAGCGUUAUCCGGAUUUAUUGGGUUUAAAGGGUGCGUAGGCGGUCGGAUAAGUUAGAGGUGAAAUCCCGAGGCUCAACUUCGGAAUUGCCUGUGAUACUGGUCGUCUAGAGAGUAGUUGCGGUAGGCGGAAUGUAUGGUGUAGCGGUGAAAUGCUUAGAGAUCAUACAGAACACCGAUUGCGAAGGCAGCUUACCAAGCUACUUCUGACGUUGAGGCACGAAAGCGUGGGGAGCAAACAGGAUUAGAUACCCUUGUAGUC
RNAcentral lists this ribosomal RNA (460 nucleotides) under uncultured bacterium. RNAcentral describes it as "partial 16S ribosomal RNA". It matches the Rfam family "Bacterial small subunit ribosomal RNA", at positions 338 to 795 of the family's 1533-position model. The record is from RNAcentral.